Molecule: ribosomal RNA, 150 nt
Filed under: Listeria monocytogenes
Lineage: Bacteria; Bacillati; Bacillota; Bacilli; Caryophanales; Listeriaceae
Description: partial 16S ribosomal RNA
Rfam family: Bacterial small subunit ribosomal RNA
Source: RNAcentral
UUUAAAGAGAGUUUGAUCCUGGCUCAGGACGAACGCUGGCGGCGUGCCUAAUACAUGCAAGUCGAACGAACGGAGGAAGAGCUUGCUCUUCCAAAGUUAGUGGCGGACGGGUGAGUAACACGUGGGCAACCUGCCUGUAAGUUGGGGAUA